UGCUGGUUGCCACAUGCUCCUUGUACUGAGCCCCCUGUCUUCCUCUCUGCCUCGGGUGAACUGGUGUCUGGUUUGAUAAGUGUCUGUUGUCCCGUUGGUCCUUUGCUUGAGGCAUCUUUGUGAGGUGGUUGCCGGCUGCUGGUCGAGGCUAGGCACUCUAGCUGGUUCCCUGUACUCAUUUGUAAUGGUAAGCGCACCGGGACACAAUAGUUUGCACCUGUUUGACGUGUUUGCUGUGAGUUCACGAGUGGUGGGUAAACUGCACUCCUGGAACACACCCUUUUUGUUAGGCUGCCUCCCCUCUGCUAUCACCUCACUUCCCCCUCCUAUUUUUCUAUUUUUAAAUCACCUUAGAUUGGAAGUGUCUUUUUUAAGAUAAGAUAAACAUUAUAUUGUUAUAAACUUUAAUACAUCUACUUAAACUGACUAAUUUGCCUCCUUAACACAAUAACUGACCCCCUUCUCUUCACAGAUACUCCCAUUUUUAAUUAUCAAUACAUUUACGUCUUCUUUUGAA
Molecule: long non-coding RNA, 517 nt
Organism: Notolabrus celidotus (New Zealand spotty)
Lineage: Eukaryota; Metazoa; Chordata; Actinopteri; Labriformes; Labridae
Exons: 2
Source: RefSeq, a predicted model, not a curated record